Molecule: long non-coding RNA, 4768 nt
Organism: Pseudopipra pipra
Lineage: Eukaryota; Metazoa; Chordata; Aves; Passeriformes; Pipridae
Exons: 3
Source: RefSeq, a predicted model, not a curated record
AAACACGAGAGAGAGCUUUAUUUGGCAGUGCUAAAAAAACCUGGGGACAAAUGGCCAAGCGGCGGUGGAAGUGCAGGCUGCACAAUCAAUAGGCAGAGAGCUGGAUAGAGGCUCCCUUCGCUGCCGGAUCGACAAUCGACAGCUGAGAGACUAUUUUUUGCAAUGGUUGACUAAAUAUGGUCAGGGAAGAGAGAGGCACAAGAGAGCCUGUUUGCCUGGGAGUGCAUGUUUCAAAUGCUUAGCUGCCUAUAAAGCCGUAACAGUUUUGCUCGUGCCCUCUAAGUGGGAAAUACGGUUAGUGUCUUCUGUAGUGUGUCUGCGGGAGCCCUGACCUCGCUAGCAGACUUGACCUCUGAAGAUGGAAAGUAGCUUCACCACAGACCUGCCUACAGUUAAGCCUGGAAACAUAACCUCAAGCAAGAAAAGAUGCAGUGCAAUAUCUAAGGAACUAGAAGAAACCAAUAUUUGCCGGGGGAGGGGGGAGACGAUCGCUAUUUUUUUGGUGCCUUUUUUUAAUUUUUUUUUUGGAAGCAACUCCAACUUUUGGGGGCUUGGUUUUGGUCUUUUGUUGAGUUUUUAUUUUUCUUUUUGGCUGUGAUUAUUAUCAUCUGACAGUGGGCUAAGUUCACCUUCCCUUGGCUUCCUAGCAUCUAUCCUUGGAGUCUUAACUCUCAGUCCAGCAGACAUAAGUUUUAUCUAUUUAAGGUGGUGAGGUACUGUAUGCACCGACAUUCGCCCCCCCUUGCCUCCCCCUCCCAUGUAACGAAGAGCUGAUUCAGCGAAUAGAGUGAGAGAGCACUCAGGAUGAGAUGGCUGCUGCUGAUGUGUCUCUAGGUCAUUACCUCUCUUCCAACUGCAAAUGCUGCAUGAUACUAAGCUUACAGGACACUGAAGAUGCAAACUGCACCCCAGCAUGAAAAUCUGCUAGAAGACCUGGGACGAAGUUGAAGCUUUUUACACUGGACUACAACUAAAAAUUCCAUGAAAAGACAUUGCAAAGCUACCAGUCAUUCAACUCCUCUCCACUUUAAACACGAUCACUUAGGACAAACAGCAAGAGACUGAAAAAUACGGAAAGGCACUUCUAACAUCAAUGUCAUCCCAAAACAAUGAACUGUAACCAGCUAUAAGACACUGUGCAGGUAAAUCGCAUUGCAAAGUUCAGUUAGCAUAGUAAGUUUAUUUUCUAUCAUCAGUUAAUCAUAACGUCAUUCUUCCAAAGAAUUGUCAGCAUGAGUUUUACCUAAUGACAGCAAGAGAAUUCAGCAAAAUACUUUUCAGGUUCAUCAGACAGGCAGUCGAGCAACUCUAUGUGUACCUGCUCAGAGCACAUACUUCUUUAUGUACCCAUAUGAACAUACAAUGCUAUGGAAUGUAAAGAAGUAUGUAUUUUUGGCAGGCAAGGAACGACCAGUAAGAGGAAACUAAACAGCUGCUGGAAGAAACAGGUUUCCCUCUUGUUUGAAUGACAUUCAUGUGACAAAUUGGCCUGCUAAGGGUCAGCUGGUAUUGCCAAAAUAGCUCAUACUUGUUAGUAACAAAUCACAAACCAUUAAAUUAAGUGACCAUAAAAGUGGCUAGGAAGAAUUGUUAACAGCUGAUAAGCAGAAUAUUAGUUGCAAACAGAAUUCAAAACAAGGCUGGAAACGUCAUCUUGAAAUGCACCAAUUAAGACUGCAGCAUAGCUGCAAAAUUUAACAUUACCAGUACUCCUCACUUAAUAGAUCCUAAAGUAAACUUAAAAGACUGAUUCUCAAAAUCUAUCUCAUCAAAAACAAGCCACUGUUCUGUGUAUCUCAGAUGGUAGUACUUAAAUUUGCAUCUACCAUAGAAUAUUUAAUCCACAGGUUGCAACUGAGACAAGUAUUAGCAGCUGAGAAAUUGUAGCUGUGAUUUAGAGAAAAUAAUAGCCAAAAUAAUUGAGUAUAAUAACUUCUGCAAUUUAUUAAGACUUAAGUUAGAAUUUUCUCCAAAUCAGCACUUAUUAUGCUCAGUGAGCUCUUCGAUACAAAGUGCAGUGUCAGGUUUAGCACAAAGUGACAAUACAGAGAUUUCUAGGCCACAGUUGCUAGUCAGCGGAUUAAAGCUAUUGACAGAUUCCUAAAUGAAAACACAAAUGACAACUACAACCUCAAAGGUAAGUUUUCUUAAACAUUAUUUUCAAAUAAGCUGUAUUUAUUUUAAAUUCAAAUUUUAGAAAAUUGGCCCUGAAAAUAUGACUUCAUAACAUCCAGAAAAUUGUAAGAACUACAUGAGAAAUAGUUCCGCAACUGUCUCAAGUUCUAAAAGUGGUAUUCAUUAAAAUAUACUGGUGCAUAUCAUCCCUAAUUAAAGACACUCGACAUCAAAUUCAGGAACAAGGGAAAAACACAAGGAAAGAACUCCCUGUUCAUCAAUCCAGCCAUUCCUAUUCAUGACAGCAACCUUCUAAAAGCAGUUAUUAAAAAGGAUAUGUCCAUCAUACGUAAGCACAUUUGGCCCAGAUUAAAGAUUCUAACUGUACUCCUCUGCUUACUUAAAUGUUUGGAAGGAAAAAAAACCAAACAAACAAGAAAAAUAAACAAAGGCAAUGUAUGAUUUUUAGAUGGGGCUAUUAUUUUUAAAUACUCACAUAAUUCUGAAAUAGCUAGUAAUAUAUAUAGCCUGAUAUUGUUAACACCUGAAACUACAUAUAAUACAAGAAGAAACAUUAUCUUAUCUGAACCACUAUCUCAUCUGCCUAAGAAAGAAAAAUAUCAAUGUGUUUUAAAGCUAUUUCUCUUACAAGCAGAUAUUUUGACAUGAAAGCUACAGUAUCUUAACAUCUAAAUUAAAACCUGGUUUUUAGUGUGAAACAAAUCAAAUUGCAGUAGCUUUUCUGAAUAGAGGAAUGCUACUGAACUUGAUUACGAUCACAGAAGCAAUCUGGUAUUACUAAAAGCUUCAUUGAGGGGUUAAUUGCUAAGCGUUUAGUUCUUUUCCUAAAGAGUUUGUGUGCUUAGCACCGAUUGAUUUGGCUUCCACUAUAUAAUGAGACCAAUUUUUUUAACCGCUUAAAUUUAUUUUGAAAGGGUUUUGGUAACUAUUUGUCAUACCGUGUUCUUUCUUGUAUAACAUUGCACUGCUAUGCUGUAACAAAAUGACAGUUCAGAGUGAUACAGAAGUUAAAAUUAUAUGUUGACAUUGCUUCCUGCUAGUUCAUGUUAGCAUAUCUCUAAGAAUACAUAUCCAGUCACUCUAAAAUGUCACAUCCAUCACUUAGAUCAGCUGUUCAAUUUUAACUGAGCACACGUUGAACUUUGGGCAUCUGCUGACACAGUUGUAACUCAAACAUUUCAACUGUGUGACUGACAGGGAUAACAGAUGCUGACAUUAUCAAAUGCUACACGGCUUUUUUUCCACAGCCGUUUUUUGUCCCGAUAUGGCCAGUACAUGAAACUGUAUUGCCAUCCAAAAGUGCACUUGAGCAGCUGUAUCUGUAAAACAGUUCCUCUAUAACUGGUAAAAAUAGAAACUCAUUUUAUAGCCAUCUUGAUGCUUAAGUCCAAGUGACACACCUGCUAUGUUUCUAUUAGGAUACACGGUGUAGGGAAUAUAUUUACAUAAAUCUGCUCACCAGCAUCAGACUAUGCAACAAACAGAUGUAGACUACCCUUGACAUACUCAUUACUAGCGAAUGGUUUGAACUAAGGUUGUCCCCUACUUUCCAUUGUAGUCAAAGCUCAGAAAGAAUUCAAUAUAUGAUGGGGGGGAAAAAAAAAAAGCUAUGCGAGCACUCACAAACGUAUUAAGGAUCUUAAUUUAGAAGGAAUCAGAUGAAACUUCAGACAGUUCUUUAAAAGCUGUAUUUUUCUGGCAUUGAACUUUUUUACAUAUACUAUCAGAGCAAAAAAAAUUAAAUUUAUCCUGCUGUAUUAUAUAAUCAUUCCUAAAAAGUUAAUACUAACCAGAGAUAUAGCAAUGGAAUUGAAAGCACUUGACAUUUAUACUUGUGCUAACCAACUACAGCAUAAAAGCAGCUGCAAAAGGGAACCUGCCAAAAAAUGAAUGGGGGGGGAGUGUGGGGGGAAAACUGAAACCUUCUUUCCCAGUGAAGUUUAACAUAAAGAAGUAAGGGAGCUCUACAUGAUUAGAAAUUUUAAGACUUCAGUUUCUAAUCUAAUCUAAAAUUUCAUUAUUGCAGAUAGGAAUAAGUUAAAACUGUAAUUUUCAUUUGAGACUCAUCCAAAGAUCCUCAAGGAAAUACUCAAGGACGGAACAAAUCUAUACAGGUCUUUCUGGUAUACAGCUUUUCAUUUUGCCAUCUCCAAAUUAGUGAAAGAGUUAAAAAUUUGCAUUGACAACAAAUUGUGUAACACAGAAGAAAGCCACAUGUUCUUUGUGAACUGUUCAUGUGCUUAAAAACGUGUUACUGAAUUAUAAGCUCCCUGCAUCCAAUGCUUUGCUAAAGCUGGUAAAAUGGAACCAAAUCACCUCUUCAAUGGAUUUGGUCCCCUUCAACCAGCUGUAGCUAUGCAUUGAUCACUACAGGAUUUCUUAUACUUUUAAAACUGGACACAAAGCCUGCUCAGAAUAAUUAUGUAGUCCUCUCUGCAGUUCAGUUCAACUAUUCUAGACAGCUUGAAGACAGAAGGUAACAAGGAGUGUAGCAAAUUCUGUAUUCUAAGAUUUCAAGUAUGUAUUUGUAAAUAAAUAGCUGGUUUUUAUGUUUACAUUCAGUGAAAAUUCAUCUCUUAAAACAUUUAUAAAGAAGAUAGGUAAGCAGUGAAAUAAACACAUUUUCCAACGA